AUUGGCACUUAUCAAUCACGAAUUUGGCCAUUGUCACUCUGCAACUUCUGCCUAUUAUUAAUGUGUGUAAUGUGUGUGUGUAUAGAUAGACAGAUAG
Long non-coding RNA from Octopus sinensis (East Asian common octopus), 97 nucleotides. RefSeq lists it as uncharacterized. The record is from RefSeq and is a predicted model, not a curated record. NCBI's taxonomy places the organism in Eukaryota, Metazoa, Mollusca, Cephalopoda, Octopoda, Octopodidae. The transcript has 3 exons.